RNAcentral lists this ribosomal RNA (444 nucleotides) under uncultured bacterium. RNAcentral describes it as "bacterial SSU rRNA". It matches the Rfam family "Bacterial small subunit ribosomal RNA", at positions 55 to 481 of the family's 1533-position model. The record is from RNAcentral.
AUGCAAGUCGAACGGAGCUAUCUCACCGAAACGGAUUUAAGCUUGCUUAUUGAAGGAUCACCGAGAUAACUUAGUGGCGGACGGGUGAGUAACGCGUGAGGAACCUGCCUUUCAGAGGGGGACAACAGUUGGAAACGACUGCUAAUACCGCAUGACACAUCGAAGCGGCAUCGCUUUGAUGUCAAAGAUUUAUCGCUGAAAGAUGGCCUCGCGUCUGAUUAGAUAGUUGGCGGGGUAACGGCCCACCAAGUCGACGAUCAGUAGCCGGACUGAGAGGUUGAACGGCCACAUUGAGACUGAGACACGGCCCAGACUCCUACGGGAGGCAGCAGUGGGGAAUAUUGCACAAUGGGGGAAACCCUGAUGCAGCAACGCCGCGUGAGGGAAGAAGGUUUUCGGAUUGUAAACCUCUGUCCCUGGUGACGAACACAGUGACGGUAACCA